RNAcentral lists this transfer RNA (73 nucleotides) under Camelus bactrianus (Bactrian camel). It matches the Rfam family "tRNA". From Rfam's summary of the family: Transfer RNA (tRNA) molecules are approximately 80 nucleotides in length. Their secondary structure includes four short double-helical elements and three loops (D, anti-codon, and T loops). The record is from Rfam by way of RNAcentral. RNAcentral also lists the same sequence under 2 other names. Lineage: Eukaryota; Metazoa; Chordata; Mammalia; Artiodactyla; Camelidae.
GAGGGUAUAGCUCAAGUGGUAGAUCAUAUGCUUAGCAUGCAUGAGGUCCUGGGUUCAACCCCUAGUACCUCCU